Molecule: long non-coding RNA, 1673 nt
Organism: Salmo salar (Atlantic salmon)
Lineage: Eukaryota; Metazoa; Chordata; Actinopteri; Salmoniformes; Salmonidae
Source: RefSeq, a predicted model, not a curated record
AGAAAACAUAGUUAGUUAACAAGCAAGAUAGCGCCCCUGACAUUGACAAACUGACGUGUUGUUAGAUUCGCCGGUCAUGGCUGGUCAUUGCUAGCCAACAUCAGAAAGCAACUUUGGAAACGAUUGGGCGUUCAUAUCUCUGCCCAAAACGGUGUACACGUUCGAGUUGGAUUUUGUCGACAGCUUCCCAUGGGAUCUGAAUCGCUGUAAAGAGGAACUCCCUCAGGAACUUCUCCUUCUUUCUAUUGGAUACCCAUGCCAUCUUUUAGAAGAAAAAGAGCCACGCUGGUUUACAGAGACCUGACUAGAGGCUUGAUAGUGCGUGCACCCCUGCCAUCAACUUAAAUCGGGAGUCCUGGGAGGACAGAGCUGGUUCCCUUUGCAGCAGAACUUGUGCCCAGCUACAGUGAUGCACCUCCUCCACCAGCAUAAAAAAAAGGAAGGCAGCAGGUGUUGUGGCCUGGAAGGGGUUGAGGGAGCUACUCCACAUGCCUUCAGUGGAGCUGGAAUGUCCUCCACCCAAUGCCAUCUGCAGUUUGUGUAGAGUUUUGGAGGAGGCUGAUCUAUGGUGCUGUAAGGAUUGUGGCGCAGAUAAAUAUUUCUGUUCCACCUGUGCUGUGAGAACGCACAGCACUCCCAACAAUGUCCACCAGUUGGAGUUAUGGAAGGACAUUUAUUUUAUGUUAUAUCAACAAACCUGUCAACUUCUGGCUUAAAACAAUUGCUUCCCAGUCAAAAAUGUUGAUCAUGUAUAGUACAUACAGUUCAGUUUCUAUAAAAGUUACAGUUCCCUGCAGCGGUAAGGUAAAUGUGACAAAAUCUGGAUUUGAUUUGGAGUUUUCUGACAACGUGUGCAAGGAAAUAUCCCCUUGCUAGUGUAGUUUCAAAUCUGCAGCUACUGUAGUCUGUCUGUCUUAGUCAGGGCAGUUCAUCCCAUGUGUCCCGUUGGGCCUACGAUGGGAGUGGCCGAGAUGACCAUGACUGUCACAUCCUGUACAACCGUCUUCUGACUGUUGUUGACGUUAGAGGUAGGUCUAGGUAUAUAUUAGGUAUAUAAAAAUUGGAAACUAAGACUUCUGGCUCCUUUACCGUCUUGCAAACUGUAUCAGAGCAUUAAGUGUAGCAGCACCAUGCUUAGAGACAAAGCCAUAAGACUGUUAAUGAAAACUGACUCUCUGCUGCUAUGGCACCGACUGUACUGUACUUAAUAUACUGUAGUAAUCGACUUAUUUCAUUGUAUUGUACACAAUGCGCUGUAUUCCUGUGCAAAUGACAACUUUGAUUUUAUUUGAUUUAGUUUACCAUAACCCUGUUCACUCUUCACUCUGUUAUGAUGAACAUAUGUUGAUGAAACUACAUUCUUAAGAGACAUGCAUCUCACCAACAUCAGAUGUAAUGUUUAGCAAUACAAUCUAAGAAACGGACUGUCCUCAUGUCAGCAAGAGCGCAUAAUGUCUGGCUGCAGUUUUGCAGCUGUCACCCUGAAUUGCCACAGACUCUGGCAUGUGGCACUUGACCACACGACUGAACAGUAGUCCAGGUGUGACAAAACUAGGGCCUGUAGGACCUGCCUAGUUGAUAGUUCUGUUAAGAAGGUAGAGCCACCUCCCAAGUGGCACGGUGGUCUAAGGCACUGCAUCGCAGUGCUAGCUGUGCAACUAGAUUCGAUUCAA